AAAUUCCAAUAAAUUUGGAGCUUGAAUUGUGACUUCUUCCAGACUCCUUAACUCUGAUAAGGUGAAUUUCUUGAGUUUUUCACUCUGAAUCUCGAUAUUCUUCAACUUAUAGCAUCUUGUUAGAUUCAAUUCUGAAAUGUUUGGGAACUUAUAGAAUACACAUCUCGAAACUGUUGGUCUGUGAUGCUGGCACCAUUGAGGUCGAGUGUUUGUAAAGUAUUGUAACCAUCCAAAAUAGCAAUUUCGCAAGGAUGAUUAGUACGUUCUCCAUAUUUAAAGCAUUUAAGAUUUGGGGCCUGGACCACAGCAAUCCAGAUGUACUUGCAAUUUGUUUAUUCCUCGGCAAUCGACUAGGGAUAGAUUCCUGAUGGACGGGGAUCUAUCCAUAAGUCUUUGCAAUUGAGCAUCUGAAAUAUAGACAGCAUGAUGCAAAUGAAGAGUCUCAAGACAAUCAAAACUUAUGUUGUCAGCUUUUUAGCAUCAUAAUAACAACAUCAGGUAACUUAAGAAGGGAGGGCAAAUGUCCAGUACUGUUUAACCGCCAAUUCAAUCCAAGUAUCCAGGUGGGAAUUCACUUUUGGAUCACAAUAUGCAAGGAUGAGCUCUUGAAGAUGUAAGUUUUGUUCGAUUAUAAUUGGUAUUAUAGUUUUGUGAUUGAUGGAAUAUGAGAUUAGGUCUAGAAGACCAACAAUAGUACCAUCUCGCCACCUCUUUCAGGUCGAGGCUAGUGCGGCAUAAGAUUUGAUGAAUGAUAUGCACAGGUAAUUCUGAUAUGAUCUGUCUUGUCCAUAAACUAUUUUCGCCAUAUUGCUGGUGCCGUCGUAUGUCCUGUUUAAGGGUUUUAUUAGUGAGAAUUGAUGACUAAAAGGCUCCAUUAUAUAUUAAGUGAAUAGCCACUUUUAACAUGACCUAUUGUCAAAUAGUAGCCACUAUUAAUAUUCAGUCACUCUUUUGACCAUUUGCCAUCUCUUCUUUUGAAACCAAGCCAUAUUCUUUCUUGUUUGAAAAAAGUUGCUUGAUUGAACAAGCCUACAUAUAAUAUCCCAACGAAAGAAAUGCCAUGGGAGUUUAUGUAUGAGAAUCCAAACCUACUCGAGAGGAUCUUGAUUCUAAAGAACUUUGAAGAAUAAAUAAAAACUAGAGUUAAUAAGAUUUUAAUUCAAUGGAUGCAAAAUCUUUUAAUGGAAACGAAAACGACAUGCUAGUGUGGAAGCCGUCCUCUUCAGAUGAGUUAUUGUUGUUUACAGAUCACAAUCCAUCUGCUUCAUUAUUAAGGUUAUUUGCAUGAGUUCAUAACAGAGUGUUACUUUCCAUUUUUCAAGUUAUGUUCAAUUUCCUGAUUUCUACAUACAAGGAAGGCGUGCGUCUAUCUGUCUACAAGCUUAUACAACUCCGAAUACCUCUAUCUUUGCAGCCCAGAAUAUUAUAUUUUCCAAUUCAUCUACACAUUCAUAACCAUCGAUACUAAAGAUAGACUGCGCAAAAUCUAUUUCAUUGCAAGUAUAAAUGUGUAAUCAAAGUUGGAGGUCUUACACAGCCAAAAAAUGCUAAAUUAUGUAAUAAAUCAUACACACUAAUUAACUCUAUAUGCUGAAUUCGCCAAGACUCUUUGGUCUAAGCUUGUUAUUUCCAUUUUAACAUGAAAUUAUUCACUUGGUCAAUUACAGAUGUAGAUUUCAACCAGAGAUACCACAUGGAGGCGGCCAUUCCCUCCUCAGGUGUCC
This 1724-nucleotide long non-coding RNA is filed under the name Solanum tuberosum (potato). Its description in RNAcentral is "long non-coding RNA (STUB_LNC011744)". The record is from RNAcentral. Lineage: Eukaryota; Viridiplantae; Streptophyta; Magnoliopsida; Solanales; Solanaceae.